AUGAACGCUGGCGGCGUGCCUAAUACAUGCAAGUCGAGCGAACAGACGAGGAGCUUGCUCCUCUGACGUUAGCGGCGGACGGGUGAGUAACACGUGGAUAACCUACCUAUAAGACUGGGAUAACUUCUGGAAACCGGAGCUAAUACCGGAUAAUAUAUUGAACCGCAUGGUUCAAUAGUGAAAGACGGUUUUGCUGUCACUUAUAGAUGGAUCCGCGCCGCAUUAGCUAGUUGGUAAGGUAACGGCUUACCAAGGCGACGAUGCGUAGCCGACCUGAGAGGGUGAUCGGCCACACUGGAACUGAGACACGGUCCAGACUCCUACGGGAGGCAGCAGUAGGGAAUCUUCCGCAAUGGGCGAAAGCCUGACGGAGCAACGCCGCGUGAGUGAUGAAGGUCUUCGGAUCGUAAAACUCUGUUAUUAGGGAAGAACAAAUGUGUAAGUAACUAUGCACGUCUUGACGGUACCUAAUCAGAAAGCCACGGCUAACUACGUG
This 496-nucleotide ribosomal RNA is filed under the name uncultured bacterium. RNAcentral describes it as "partial 16S ribosomal RNA". It matches the Rfam family "Bacterial small subunit ribosomal RNA", at positions 29 to 507 of the family's 1533-position model. The record is from RNAcentral.